GUUGAGGAUACUUGUGUGCCACAAUGAAUCUUUGCGAUUAUAACAGUUCUUUCAACUAUAGGAACUCAUUCUGAAAAAUUGCAGAAAGCAGUCAGCUCUAUAAUGACUCUCGUAUAACGAUCAAGCUAUAGCUUCAUCAGACUACGGACAUUACUGGGGGAAGUUGCGUCAGAUGAAAAACAGAUCGAUCGAGUUUCCUCGAGCAAGACGUCUAGGAAUUUCCACGCAAACGAUGCAUAGACUCCAACGACGGUUGUGUAUAUUGAUUUCAAAUUAAUUAAUAUUAUUUCUAGAUAUUGACAUUAUGUAUAAUGAAUAUGUAGACGAAGCACAUUAGAAUGGUAUAUAAAGGUAACAAGCAAUAUUACAAUAUUAAUAGUUUUUUAUAUGUGAGCAUAUAGCUUGGUCUAGAGUAAUAAAAAAUUUAUAUAACGUUCCUAAUCAAA
Molecule: long non-coding RNA, 446 nt
Organism: Megachile rotundata (alfalfa leafcutting bee)
Lineage: Eukaryota; Metazoa; Arthropoda; Insecta; Hymenoptera; Megachilidae
Source: RefSeq, a predicted model, not a curated record